Molecule: long non-coding RNA, 5389 nt
Organism: Pongo pygmaeus (Bornean orangutan)
Lineage: Eukaryota; Metazoa; Chordata; Mammalia; Primates; Hominidae
Exons: 2
Source: RefSeq, a predicted model, not a curated record
CCGCUCCGCACGGUGGCCGGAACGUCUCUCCCUUACCAGCCUUCGCUUCCUGGUGCGCAGCUCUUAGGACCGUGUGUGACUCUGGCCUUCUACCGAGACAACAGAGAAACGCACAGCUACUCGCAUGGAGGAAUCGGCGAAAUGGCUCCGACCGCGGCGCGAGGGGGCGGGGACAGCGAGCGUACGCAUGCGCAGAGCGCGUGCCGGGGCGGGGGAUGGCGAGGGCGCGCCAAUGGAGGGGGCGGGGCUCAGCCACCUCGCGGCGCGGAAGGGUUUCGUUGCUAGGGAGAUGGGCUGAGCUGGGCGGGCAGCGCGCCCGACCUGCUACUCUGGAUAAUCCACUACCCUGGAUAAUCGGCUACCCGCUUUUGCGCAUGUUAGGGAGUUGACGGCCUGUACCAUUCUGAUGCAGCAAAAUAUUUCGCAGUGUCUGUCAUAGGGAUCUCCGGUGAGAGGAGGUUCCCUUCGAAGACAGAACUGGAAACCUUGCUGCUAACUUGGUAGGGUUGUUGAGAUAAUUACAUGAGAUGGCAUAUGAAGGGGGGCUUAGUUCAAUACCUGGCACGUAGUAGGUGUUCAGUGGGCGUAGUUACCGGAUUGAUUCAGAUAGUCUGAAUGCCAGUGUCUCUUGAAAGAAAUAAACUGGCCGGGCGCGGUGCCUGUAAUCCCAGCACUUUGGGAGGCCGAGGCGGGCGAAUCACUUGAGGUCAGGAGUUUGAGACCAGCCUGGCCAACGUGGUGAAACCCUGUCUCUACUAAAAAAAAAAUACAAAAAUUAGCCGGGCAUGGGGGCGGGCGCCUGCAAUCCCAGCUACUUAGGUGGCUGGGCGGGCUCCUGCAAUCCCAGCUACUCGGGAGGCUGAGGCAGGAGAAUUGCUUGAACCCCGGGGUCGGGGGCGGUGGCGGAGGUUGCAGUGGGCCGAGAUCACGCCAUUUUCUGGGCGAGAGAGCGAGACUCCGUCUCAAAAACAAAAAACCAUGAAAGAAAUAAGCUCAGUGAAGGCGGGCAUUCUGCCUGGCUAACGCAGGUCGCUCCUUGCCGUGCCUGGAACAUUACUGUAAGUGCUCAGCAAACUACUUUAAGGGUGUUGAAAGCAGCAGGGGCCUAGAAGACAUUAAACCGAUACCACAGAAAUACAAAGGAUCAUUAGAGACUAUUAUGAACAACUAUAUGCUAACAAAUUGGAAACCAAAUGGAAAUGGAUAAAUUCCUGAACAGAUACAACUUACCAAAAUUGGACCAAGAAGAAAUAGAAAACCUGAAAAGACCAACUAUGAGUAAUGAGAUUGAAUCAGUAAUAUAGAGUCUCCCAUCAAAGAAAAGCCCAGGCCCUGAUGGCUUCACUGCUGAAUUCUACCAAACAGUUAAAGAAGAACUCAUACCAGUUCUUCUCAAACUCAUCCUGUGAGGGCAGUAUUACCCUGAUACCAAAACUAGAUAUGGACACAAGAAAAAAAAUCUAUAGGCCAGUAUCCCUGAUGAACAUAGAUGCAAGAAUCCUCAACAAGGCCAGGCGUGGUGGUUCAUGCCUGUAAUCCCAGCACUUUGGGAGGCCAAGGCAGGUGGAUCACCUGAGGUUAGGAAUUCGAGACCAGCCUGGCCAACAUGGCAAAACCCCGUCUGUACUAAAAAUACAAAAAUUAGCCGGGCAAGGUGGUGGGUGCCUCUAAUCCCAGCUACUCAGGAGGCUGAGGCAGGAGAAUUGCUUGAACCUGGAGGGGGGCAGGCAGAAGUUGCAGCGAGCUCAGAUCAUCCCACUGCACUCCAGCCUGGGUGACAGAGACUCCAUCUCAAAAUAAGUAAAUAAAUAAAUAAAGAGACUCAACUAGCAUAAAUGAAUUGCAAGUGUUUUAUAGUAUAUAAUGAGCACAACAAAAGUAUCAAUAUAUUAUAUGGAAAUACAUUUUCAAAGCUGGAUCUUUAGCUUCCAAGGAUUAAGGAGAAUUUUGUUACUGAAUUGGUUCUUAAUUUAGGCUCUGCACCUGAGACCUAGAGUCCCCUGGGAUUUGGGUCCGAGGACUGGCAUUACCUUUGUAGGUGGCCUUUGGCAACUAGCACUGUCUAAGAUCUUAACAUUUGCAGAUGAAGCCUUAAAACAUGUCCCAAAAGUAUGGAAAGUGGGCCGAUUUCAACACAACCAUUACCUGUUCCCGGUAGCUGACCAACUAGGAGAUUUCAGAGGUUAGUCAAGUGGGACAGAGCAGGGUAGGGAAUUUUUUUUUAAGCUUUAUUAUAAAACAGGUAACUUUGUCCCUAUCUUAAGAAUUUGGAACUGAGGCUAUAGGUCACUCAAUGAUCAAAUAAUGAAAGGUCUGCUUCAACUGGACUACUUAACAUUUCACAUUUACCUUUUUGACCAGAAAUAACUGAUGACAGUUCACUUAGUUUGGUGGGAAAUAAGAGAUACAAAGAUAUCUUCUCCUCCAAGAUGAGACUCCCAAAGGCAAAUGUUCUCUGAGUACCACUGUCGCUCAAAUUUAAGACCUUUGGAGUUCCUUUGAGCAUGGUUCUGCCCUCAUAUUUCUGAUCACUCCAUCUAGACUUCUACUCAACUUCUCUUCCUCUGUGUGCACUCCAAUUGCAAGUCACACCCAGGUUCUGUUCUUAGCACUCUAUAUACCCUCUACCUGGAGAGUCUUAUUCUUCCUAUAUUCCAACCACCAUCCAUAUGCAGGUAUGGACUGAAUAUUUGUAUCUCCCCCAAAUUUGUAUGCUGAAGCCCUAAUCCUCAAUGUGAUGGUAUUUGGAGAUGGGGGUUUUAGGAUAUAACUGGGUUUAGAUGAGGUCAUGACAGUAGAGCCCCCAUGGUGGGAUUAGUGCCCUUAUAAGAGGACAAGACCAGAGCCUUUUCUCCUCUAAUAUAAUUACCCACAUAAACCUUAACAUAUUGAAGAGUUGGUUGAUCUCUUUAACGAAGGGUUCUCCAACUCCUGGGCUGCAGACUGGUACUGGUCCAUGGCCUGUCAGGAACAGGGCUGCACAGCAGGAAGUGAGCGAAGGGCGAGCAAACAUUACCGCCUGAGCUCCGCUUCCUGUCACAGCAGCAGCAGCAGCAGCAGCAGCAUUAGAUUCUUAUAGGAGUGUGAGCCUUAUUGUGAACUGCAGAUGCAAGGGAACUAGGUUGCAUGCUCCUUAUGAGAAAAUGCCUGAUGAUCUGAGGUGGAACAGUUUCAUCCUGACACCGUCCCUCCCACACCCCUGGUCCAUGGAAAAAUUGUCUUCCACGAAACCUGUCCCUGGUGCCAAAUAGGUUGGGGACCGCUGGUUUAAAGGACUGAUGACUCUUUUAAUGCAAUGAGUGACACAGAUGAAGUAUAUAAUCUGGAUUCCAGCAGAAAUGGUAGUCUAGAUUUUGAGAAUGAAGAAAAGAACCUAUCUAAUACUUUUAAAAUUAUUUUCUUGUUAAUAAUUACGGUCAUUCAAAAGCCAAUUUCUAUUAGACUUCUUCCUUUUUUAUUGCUUGUUGUACAUAUGUAUAAGUGAAUAUUUGUCUUUUCUAUAAGCAGUUGUAACAUUGGAAGUCAUUUUUCUGUCUCCAUUGUGCCAGUUCUUCUUGAACCAUUUGUUAAUCUACAAGUUCUAUGGCGAUAAAGAAAUCUAUUCACAUUCACAGGAUUUUGCAAUGUGUUUUGUUCCAUUUUUACAGUUACAUUUGCUUUCUCUGUAUUUAUUCUACAGGAAUUAAUUUAUUUUAUAGUUUGGCUUGCUUCUUAGUUAUGUAGUCUUGAAAUGCCAUAUUCACAUUUGCUUUUAUGGUUCCCAUAUUAAGGUUCAGGGCUUUAUUUACCCAUGCAUUUGUAUAUUUGAGCAUUUUUGUUGCUUGCUUUAUACAUGCUUUAACUGAGACUAAUACAUGUCUUUCUUUUCUUUUUGUAGAGACAGAGUCUUGUUAUGUUGCCCAGGCUAGUCUCAAACACCUGGCCUCAACUGAUCCUCCCACCUCAGCUUCUGAAAGUGCUGGGAUUACAGGCAUGAGCCACCACAAGAACAACACAUUUCUAUAAGGUUAUGGGGUUUUACUUUUUUCCAGUGUUAAUUAGUUUCACAUAUCUAGAAUUUGUAAUUUCUUACUGGAUACUGGUAUAGAAUUACUGUAUUUAUUUACCUGAACAAAUUAAUGUUUCCGUCUACAAACUACUUUAGAAAGAUUUUCGAUAAAGGUAAAUGGGAUGUAAUAAUCUAUUAAGAAAAAAUGACUCAGAGUGGAACCUGUAGCAAAAUAUAAAUCUGCUGUAUUUAAGAGUAAUUGAAAGCAACAGAUUCCAAAAGCUUGAAAAAAAUGGAGAUGCCCUAAAUAAACUUACCAUUGAAAAAUAACAGAAAAUGUUGAAUACAAAAAAAAAAAAAAAAUGUAUUGCUGUGCUGCCAAGAAAGAAAAUGCUUUAGAGGUAAACAUAAAUGAAGUGAAUGAAUGAAUCCAGAGAGGCAAGAGAACCCUGACGUAAGCACCUACCCUGAAAGGGUCUGCUGAUUUUUAAUGAACUAGAGCUUCCUUUUAAUAAAAGCUGCAUUGGGGCUUAGGAGAAAGGAGACAAAAGAGACUGCCCAACAUGCAGAGGCUGAGAGGAGACCUACACAUAAGCCAGAAUGCCUUAUAUCUUCAGUGAAAAGUGAACAACAAUAGCAACAAUGAAAAACCAAACCAACCAGAAAAGGGGUAUAAUAAGGAAACUUGUCUAUCAAAAACUAGAUGCUAGGUAGAAUUAAAAAAGACUCACUUCCUCUGAUACCCAAAAAAACCUCAAGCCAAUUAUUUAAAGUGGUUAUUAGUCAGCAGAGAUAAAUCACUUAGAAGGAUUAAAAUUAUAUUCUCUUUGGUGGAAUAUUCUUCUAUCCAGACCUCAAAUAAUUCCUAUAAAAUUCCACUGAACAUAAGCUCAAGUUCAAAAAAUCAUAAAACAGGUGAGGAUCUUAAGUACCUCUGAUGAGUGACAGGGUAUAAGUGGCUCAUGUGGGUGAUCCCAACACUUUGGGAAGUUGAAGUGUGAGAUCACUUGAAGCCAGGAGUUCAAAACCAGCCUGGCCAACAUAGUGAGACCCUGUCUCUGUUUUUAAAAAACAAAUAAAGUCCAAUGAGUUGAGUGCCAGCAGAAAAAGAAAACUGACAGAAUUAUAUAUAAAUGUUUUAGAUACUAGAAUUAUCUGCUACUGAAUAGAAAUAUACCUUUUCGUCAUUAUUAUGUUUAAUUCACUCCUGAAAACCCUACUGCUAAGUGAAAAGCCACUAAAUGAAAAUAAUAUUUUAACUGGAAAAUCAUGAUGCAUUCUGUGUAAACCCAAGAAAACUAAACAAUUUCAGACCAAAAAAAUCAAUUUUUCCAGAGACAAGGUUAUAUCAACAAGUUGAAAUAAUAAAGACAGUUUAUUUACAAACUGUAAUGUAAUGAA